This 252-nucleotide small RNA is filed under the name Caulobacter vibrioides NA1000. RNAcentral's name for it is "small non-coding RNA". The record is from RNAcentral. Lineage: Bacteria; Pseudomonadati; Pseudomonadota; Alphaproteobacteria; Caulobacterales; Caulobacteraceae.
GAUGCGCGUAGUGGUCAGCUACGGUUUGCUCAACUCGGCGCCAAGGCGUGGCGGACCUUGGGGUAAUAGUCUCUCUCGCGGACAGCGACAUCCAGACCCAACACUUCGACGAGUUGCUCGGUUUCCCGACCGAUUAGGUCGUCCAUGUCCUUGAGGCGCUCGCCCGCCAACCCCAAGGUGGCGCGUUCCAACGCCUCGAUCAUGGGUUUGAUGACGUUUUCGAUGAAGCGCGCCGCCGCCGCUCGCCUCAUG